RNAcentral lists this ribosomal RNA (446 nucleotides) under uncultured bacterium. Its description in RNAcentral is "partial 16S ribosomal RNA". It matches the Rfam family "Bacterial small subunit ribosomal RNA", at positions 338 to 795 of the family's 1533-position model. The record is from RNAcentral.
CCUACGGGUGGCAGCAGUCGAGAAUCAUUCACAAUGGGGGAAACCCUGAUGGUGCGACGCCGCGUGGGGGAAUGAAGGUCUUCGGAUUGUAAACCCCUGUCAUGUGGGAGCAAAUUAAAAAGAUAGUACCACAAGAGGAAGAGACGGCUAACUCUGUGCCAGCAGCCGCGGUAAUACAGAGGUCUCAAGCGUUGUUCGGAAUCACUGGGCGUAAGGCGUGCGUAGGCUGUUUCGUAAGUCGUGUGUGAAAGGCGCGGGCUCAACCCUCGGACGGCACAUGAUCCUGGGAGACUAGAGUAAUGGAGGGGGAAGCGGAAUGCGCGGUGUAGCAGUGAAAUGCGUAGAUAGCGAGAGGAACACUCGUGGCGAAGGCGGGUUCCUGGACAUUAACUGACGCUGAGGCACGAAGGCCAGGGGAGCGAAAGGGAUUAGAUACCCUUGUAGUC